RNAcentral lists this ribosomal RNA (466 nucleotides) under uncultured bacterium. RNAcentral describes it as "bacterial SSU rRNA". It matches the Rfam family "Bacterial small subunit ribosomal RNA", at positions 328 to 792 of the family's 1533-position model. The record is from RNAcentral.
UGCCCAGACUCCUACGGGAGGCAGCAGUGAGGAAUAUUGGUCAAUGGACGAGAGUCUGAACCAGCCAAGUAGCGUGAAGGAUGACUGCCCUAUGGGUUGUAAACUUCUUUUAUAUGGGAAUAAAAUGUUCCACGUGUGGGAUUUCGUAUGUACCAUAUGAAUAAGGAUCGGCUAACUCCGUGCCAGCAGCCGCGGUAAUACGGAGGAUCCGAGCGUUAUCCGGAUUUAUUGGGUUUAAAGGGUGCGUAGGGGGGUUGUUAAGUCAGGGUUAAACGCCGGGGGCUCACCCCCGGCGAGCCGUUGAAACUGGCUGUCUUGAGAUGUCGAGAGGUAUGCGGAAUGCGCAGUGUAGCGGUGAAAUGCUUAGAUAUUGCGCAGAACUCCGAUUGCGAAGGCAGCAUACCGGCGGCGAUCUGACGCUGAGGCACGAAAGCGUGGGUAUCGAACAGGAUUAGAUACCCUGGUA